UACAGAGGUCCCAAGCGUUGUUCGGAAUCAUUGGGCGUAAAGCGCGCGCAGGCGGAUCAGCAAGUCAGAUGUGAAAUCUCGGAGCUCAACUCCGAAACUGCGUCUGAAACUGCUAGUCUAGAAUGUCGGAGGGGGCAGGGGAAUUUCACGUGUAGGGGUAAAAUCCGUAGAGAUGUGAAGGAACACCGGAGGCGAAGGCGCCUGCCUGGACGACUAUUGACGCUGAGGCGCGAAAGCGUGGGGAGCAAACAGG
RNAcentral lists this ribosomal RNA (253 nucleotides) under uncultured bacterium. Its description in RNAcentral is "partial 16S ribosomal RNA". It matches the Rfam family "Bacterial small subunit ribosomal RNA", at positions 524 to 776 of the family's 1533-position model. The record is from RNAcentral.